AUGUUAGGACAGCUUAAUCCGGAUUCUGAAGCAAUGAGUACCUGUAAAAAGGCCAGGGCGGAAUCUACAUCUGUUGUGAGUUCAGACAGACUGAGCAGUCUACCUCCAGAGAUAAAGGGCGACAUCCUCUCCCGUCUGAAUGUCGAAGAGGCGGUUAGGACUAGCACCUUAUCAAGUACUUGGAGGGAUGCAUGGACUAAUAUGCCAAAAAUAUUUCUGCGCGAUGGAAAUUUUGCAAGAACCAAGUUCGUCACAUUAGUCGAUAUGGUGCUAUCACUCCACAAGGGAACUGUAGAGAAGUUUGAUAUUUCAGGUAGCAAACCUUACCAUGACGAGUUCGGCAGGUGGAUGCUCAUGCUUUCUAGGAGAUCACCAAGAUCAAUUAUAAUCGAGUUAAAAUCAGUGCCAGGUUAUAGGAUUCCCUCAUGUCUAUUUUCUAUCGGUGAUUUGGAGAAUCUGCACCUGCAAAACUGCAUCAUCAGCUUGCCCCGGGUAUUCCAAGGUUUCAAGAGAUUAACUCGCCUCAGACUGAACAAUUUCUCAUCUACAGACAUGGACAUCCAAAAUUUGGUCUCGUUCUGCCCCGCACUGCGUUCUUUGAGACUAACUUAUUUUGAGGGCAUUAACCAUCUAACCGUUCAAGCUCCUAAACUGAAACUUCUUUAUGUCAUUGGGGACGUUGAAAUUAAUUUGGAUGCACCUAAUUUGGAGGUGGCUCUCUUAAUGCAUCACAAAGCUAUAGCACCUCAUUCUGAUCCAAUUGCGCUUCACAAGGAAAGCUAUGUCAAGCAGUUAUUGGGAAGCCUAAGUGACAUCAAAAGCUUUGCAAUUAGCGGCUUUUUGCUGAGGUAUUUAUCAAAAGGUUGCAUACUUACGAAGCUCCCUGCCCUGUUUGCUCGCCUGGAGAAUAUUUAUCUUGCAAUAUGCUUUUUGGACCAGCGGCAAUUCUUGGCCGCUUGUUCAUUGUUUCAGAAUGCCCCUAACUUAAAGAGGCUUGAUGUUGUUCCAAGUCACUCUUCAAACACAUGGGAUCAGGAUCAGGCGAGGAUUAAAGAGUUUACCAUGCAAGUGCAAUUGGAUCAUCUCGUAACGGCCAGUGUGCAAGGUUUCAAGGGUCUGGACUGCGAAGUCGAUUUCGUGGCAAAGCUACUGAGCUGGGCACCAGCUCUGGAAGAACUGAAGAUAGAAUGGAAGGGCAAAACAGAGUGCAGCAUGGUUCUUGCCAAGUUAUUAGCUCUGCCGAGGGUGUCUCCCAGGGCCAAGGUCAUUGUUACAUUUUGA
Molecule: ribosomal RNA, 1281 nt
Filed under: Triticum aestivum (bread wheat)
Lineage: Eukaryota; Viridiplantae; Streptophyta; Magnoliopsida; Poales; Poaceae
Description: partial small subunit ribosomal RNA
Source: RNAcentral